GAGAGACAAACAUAAUUGGGCCUAUAAGAAAAAGGGCAUCAUGCUGGAAUUCUAUGUUUUUUUACAUAUAUAUACAAGCUAUUGCUGCUGGAAAAAAAAAAUAAAAAAAAAAUAAAGAUCAAUUGGAAUUCCACCUCAAUUAGGGGACUAAUUAGGCGGCUGAAAGAGAAAUAUAUAUACAGCUUACGCACAAGAACAGAGGAGAAUUGUUGGGAAGUCAAUUUGGGGCUGACUUUCAUUCUUUUACCGACCAAUUCACGCACCGGAGCAGCCAACUGGUGGAAGGAAGGUACACGCCAAAUGUGGGAGGGAAAAAGUCAGAAAACUUGUUGGAAAAAAAAUCAACAAAGAGCACAAAAAAGGAGCGGCUGAUUGGGGAGUUAAAUUGGGCUGGAAUUAUAUAUAUAACACUGGGCUUUUGGACACGCAGACACAUAAGACAUUGGGCAGCUGAAAAAAUUGAAGGAAGUAGAAUUAUUUUACACACUUUGGUGGUUGAUUACAGAAGAGAGGCUGGUCGAUAUAUAAAUAUAUUUAUACCAACAGAGACAAGAACUUCGGUGGCUGCAAAGUGGAAAAUUAGACAGAACAAAAAGGUUGUUGCUCGUUAGAAUAAAAAGAGAAAGACGGAAUCACGUAGCUGCAAAGAUAAACGUAGAAAACGACUCAAGCAUAAUUGGAAUUAAUUACGUUCCGUCAAUUUAUUGGUGAUCUCUUUCCUCUUUUAUGUGUUUGAUUUCAACAUUAUGCUGGGCUAAGUCUUUUCAUGUAUUGGAUGGAUGACAAAAUUGUUUAAUUCUUAGUUUUAAUUCGAG
This 815-nucleotide long non-coding RNA is filed under the name Olea europaea (common olive). Its description in RNAcentral is "long non-coding RNA (OEUR_LNC014339)". The record is from RNAcentral. Lineage: Eukaryota; Viridiplantae; Streptophyta; Magnoliopsida; Lamiales; Oleaceae.